GAAAGAUUUGGCGGUUAAUCCUGAGGAGAUUUCGGCGGGCACAGUUCUCAAGAGGAAUUAUCUUCAGCUGCAAACUGAAAUUCUGAGCUGCUGCAUGAACAUUCAUCAAACUUAUAAGGCUGCAAUUUGGAAAAAACUUUCAAGCCAAUGCUGCUGAAAUAGAGGUCAAGGGGACUGAAGAGGUGGCUCCAGCUGAUCAAAAGGGUGGACUUCAGGAGGCAGACACACUCUGUUACAGUAAUCAGCUGAUCCAGCCGUAUCCAGACCAGACGGUGGACCUGCACCCAGGAACGACCACAACACAUCCCUGACUGUCAGCGGAGACCGUGUCAGCUGGAUGACAGAUCCUCUGUGAAGACCUCAUUGAUGGCCCCAGCACAGAUCCUCAGCAAAGACUACGAG
Long non-coding RNA from Onychostoma macrolepis, 402 nucleotides. RefSeq lists it as uncharacterized. The transcript is spliced from 4 exons. The record is from RefSeq and is a predicted model, not a curated record. NCBI's taxonomy places the organism in Eukaryota, Metazoa, Chordata, Actinopteri, Cypriniformes, Cyprinidae.